UAAUACUAGCGGUCCAAGUCGCAGCCAUUUUUAUUGGGUCUAAAACAUCCGUAGCUUGCUUGAUAAGUUUCUUGUGAAAUUUUAUCUCUUAAAGAUAGAGCGUGCAAGAAGUACUAUCAAGCUAGAGACUGGAAGACGUAGGAAGUAUGAUCAAAGUAGUGGUAAAAUGCUUUAAUCUUGGUCAGACUCACAAUAGCGAAGGCAUCCUACGAGGACAGUUCUGACAGUAAAGGAUGAAGGCUAGGGGCGCAAAACGGAUUAGAUACCCGUGUAGUCCUAGCAGUAAACUCUGCACACUAAACAUUAGUACCUCUUCGAGAGGUAUUGGUGCUGAAGGGAAGCCGAAGAGUGUGCUACCUGGGAAGUAUAGCCGCAAGGCCG
Molecule: ribosomal RNA, 381 nt
Filed under: uncultured archaeon
Lineage: Archaea
Description: bacterial SSU rRNA
Rfam family: Archaeal small subunit ribosomal RNA
Source: RNAcentral